RNAcentral lists this ribosomal RNA (253 nucleotides) under uncultured bacterium. RNAcentral's name for it is "partial 16S ribosomal RNA". It matches the Rfam family "Bacterial small subunit ribosomal RNA", at positions 524 to 776 of the family's 1533-position model. The record is from RNAcentral.
GACGGAGGAUGCAAGCGUUAUCCGGAAUUAUUGGGCGUAAAGCGUCCGCAGGUGGGUUUACAAGUCUGCUGUCAAAGUGCAGAGCUUAACUCUGUAAAGGCGGUGGAAACUGUAGGUCUUGAGUAUGGUAGGGGUAGAGGGAAUUCCCGGUGUAACGGUGAAAUGCGUAGAUAUCGGGAAGAACACCAGUGGCGAAAGCGCUCUACUGGGCCAUAACUGACACUGAGGGACGAAAGCUAGGGGAGCGAAAGGG